This 489-nucleotide ribosomal RNA is filed under the name uncultured bacterium. RNAcentral describes it as "SSU rRNA". It matches the Rfam family "Bacterial small subunit ribosomal RNA", at positions 26 to 518 of the family's 1533-position model. The record is from RNAcentral.
AGAGUGAACGCUGGCGGCGUGGCUAAGACAUGCAAGUCGAGCGGCAAGGCAGCAAUGCCCUAGAGCGGCGAACGGGUGCGUAACACGUGAGCAAUCUUCCGUAAAGUUGGGGAUAGCCCCGGGAAACUGGGAUUAAUACCGAAUGUGGACCAGGACGGCAUCGUCCUGUAUCUAAAGCCUGUAACGGCGCUUUACGAGGAGUUCGCGGCCUAUCAGCUAGUUGGGGGGUAACGCCCACCAAGGCGAAGACGGGUAACCGGUUUGAGAGAACGAUCGGUCACACCGGAACUGAGACACGGUCCGGACACCUACGGGUGGCAGCAGUUUCGAAUCAUUCACAAUGGGGGAAACCCUGAUGGUGCGACGCCGCGUGGAGGAUGAAGGUCUUCGGAUUGUAAACUCCUGUCGAAGGGGGACUAAAGUAUGGUUCAUAGCCAUACCUGCAUUAACCCCUAGAGGAGCAGUGGCUAACUCUGUGCCAGCAGCCGC